Thalassophryne amazonica is the source of this 354-nucleotide long non-coding RNA. RefSeq lists it as uncharacterized. The transcript is spliced from 3 exons. The record is from RefSeq and is a predicted model, not a curated record. NCBI's taxonomy places the organism in Eukaryota, Metazoa, Chordata, Actinopteri, Batrachoidiformes, Batrachoididae.
UUGAGCUGCAAGGUGAGGACUGGCAAACAGUUCAUGUAACGGUCCACCUUCUAACUCUGGUGCUAAUAUUGGCUGAGGCAAUGUUUCUACAGAGUGUUCUGAAGAUCCUUCGAGAACAGGUUCUUGAUUUGGUUCUCUUACAGGUUCUGGUGUCAUUUCACGUGUAGGAUCAGGUGUUGGUUCUCCUAGAAGUUCUGGUGUCACUUCACGUACAAGGUCUGGAUUUGGUUCUCUGAUUGGUUCAGGUGUUGGUUCUCUGACUGGUUCAGGUGUGGCUUCUCUGACUGGUUCAGGUGUGGCUUCUCUGAUUGGUUCAGGUGUGGCUUCUCUGAUUGGUUCAGGAGAGCGGAAGAG